Molecule: small RNA, 184 nt
Filed under: Mycolicibacterium tusciae
Lineage: Bacteria; Bacillati; Actinomycetota; Actinomycetes; Mycobacteriales; Mycobacteriaceae
Description: Mycobacterium tusciae c-di-AMP sequence
Rfam family: c-di-AMP riboswitch aptamer (ydaO/yuaA leader)
About the family: This family represents a conserved RNA structure found upstream of the ydaO and yuaA genes in Bacillus subtilis and related genes in other bacteria. The ydaO/yuaA element is thought to act as a genetic "off" switch for the ydaO and yuaA genes in its native state.
Source: RNAcentral
ACCCAGUCAACGACGAACAACUUUGGACGGAGGCGGGGGACCCACCGGUCCACCGAAACGGAAGGACCUGGAGCAGAUUUCGGCUCCUUGGGGUGAAGCCGGCGUCGUCUCGACGCCGCCGGCCGGGCAACCUCUCCAGCCCGAACCCGACAGCUGACCUCGCGGGCGCUUAAAGAGAGGACAC